AUUGAACGCUGGCGAAAGGCCUAACACAUGCAAGUCGAGCGGAUGAAAGGAGCUUGAUAAUGACUUAAGAAACGGACGGGUGAAUAACGCAUAGGAAUCUGCCUGGUAGUGGGGGAUAACGUCCGGAAACGGGCGCUAAUACCGCAUACGUCCUGAGGGAGAAAGUGGGGGAUCUUCGGACCUCACGCUAUCAGAUGAGCCUAGGUCGGAUUAGCUAGUUGGUGGGGUAAAGGCCUACCAAGGCGACGAUCCGUAACUGGUCUGAGAGGAUGAUCAGUCACACUGGAACUGAGACACGGUCCAGACUCCUACGGGAGGCAGCAGUGGGGAAUAUUGGACAAUGGGCGAAAGCCUGAUCCAGCCAUGCCGCGUGUGUGAAGAAGGUCUUCGGAUUGUAAAGCACUUUAAGUUGGGAGGAAGGGCAGUAAGUUAAUACCUUGCUGUUUUGACGUUACCAACAGAAUAAGCACCGGCUAACUUCGUG
This 484-nucleotide ribosomal RNA is filed under the name uncultured bacterium. RNAcentral's name for it is "partial 16S ribosomal RNA". It matches the Rfam family "Bacterial small subunit ribosomal RNA", at positions 30 to 507 of the family's 1533-position model. The record is from RNAcentral.